UCUCCUCCUCCUCCUCCCCUCUCUCAUGCCUCGCCUUCAUGGAAAACGGCCCAUGAAGGUGGUGCAGCCUCACAGUGACACCGGUGUUAAUAUAUUUAAACUACGCCACUUGACUUAGCUUAAAUUGUACGUGACAUGACAACAUAAUUUAAUGAUUAAUCACGUAAUGAAGCGGUUGAUCCAUGCUAACGUUCUUUUUUCAGUUAUCCUCCUCACAUCCUCCAUUUUCUUGCGUCGCGUGCCAUCUAGUGGUGCGUUCAGGUGGUGCUGGGAAAUCACAGUUCAAAUGGGAACCCAGACAGACUGUUUACAGGUCUUAAGGGAGAGAGCUAGCUUACUGAACAUCUGAAUAAAAGUUGUGUAAAGCUUGUUGUGGCUCCAGAGGGAGCCGUCCGCAGACUAAUGCCGGGCAGCAGACGGAGGUGGCAGGCGUUGGUGGUAACCGAGCUCGCCCCUGCACACCACAGCAGAGAGAACAGCCAACGCUCAUUAACCACCCACAAGUUCACUGUAAUGUUCGAGCUCUGAAGAUCCCUGUAAGAUGAAAAUGCAGAGUCUGGCAUGAAAUAUAGGACAAACAGUACUUCCACCAUAGACUGCUACAGUCACCAUGAGGCCUGACUCAGUGCUCUGCUCGACUACUCUCAUAAAAAAUGAUUCAUCAUCAUAAAAACAUCUACGCUAUGUCGAGCAAGCUGCAGAAGCACUACAUUUUGGCUGGAAUACUAUAGUCCAUCCUGUUGGGGCGGGGUGCAGAAGUUUUGUGGCAACAUGUACCUCCAGAUUGCUCAAAGACCUGAGAGUCAGAGGCCAGAGCCCGCGCUCUGCCAUCAAAGCUGCGUCGGAGGCAGCAGAGAGAAGCAGCCAGCGGCGUUGGAUGAAGAGGCAAGACCCCUGCUGGGCCCUGAACAUGACACGGAGGGGGGUGUUUCUGGGACGCCAGAUUUCACUGUUGCCCACUUGAAAACUCGUCUGUGUCAGCCAUCCACCGUCAGUGUAGCGUUCACCAUAAGCAAGAAGACUAAUGCUGUCACGUUGCACUCGAUGCUCUUCUUGAACGACAUCAUGGUGUUCUCUGGGGCCAGCUGAACACGGGGAGGACAGAUGGACACGGAGACUGGAUGAACAGGGGACACAGGAAGAUGGCGACCGACACCACGACAAACACCACCGCCAUGAGGAACUGAGAACCUGAGGACAGCAAAAGUCAAACAAUAAGAAGCAGCCUCGUUGGGUCCCGGCUCUCAUCAGUUUUGCCUCCUCUCUCCUUCUGCUCCCUCACACUUGUUGCUCUCUGGGAGCCCGUGAGCUGAAUGGGAAUGCGGUCGCACAUGAAUGGGUGCGAGCUGAAGAAGGGGUGUAGCCCGCGCAGAGAGGGAGGAUCGCAGAGCUGUUGUUCAAUGCAGGUAGGCUACAGAGUUAAACUUGCAGGGAAGUAAAUCACUUGUGACAGAUAUAUGAAGCGCAUAAGGAUAAAUACAUAUUACUCUCAUCCAGUGAGCCUCAUUAUGAAAACCUUAUAAAAGUGUGUUAUAAGUGGUUAUUUUACGUCAGUUUUACCGUGGAUAAUAGUAGUGUUUUUCAAAAGUUACACAAAACCAGCAAGUCUUUUCAGUUUACCAGUAAGUGAUCACAGUUCCUAAUCCUGACAAGAUAUGUAGAUAAUGCUCUCAAGUGUAUCAGACAGACUACAAUAAACAUCUUGAACCCACUCGGCAGGUCAGGCUGGUUUGGUGUAAACUGGUUUUCUUUGCAGGGAAGAAAAAAGCCCCCCCGAGCCUUUAAGUUGAGAGCUGAGAGCUUGUAAAAUUCUCACCAUCCUUUCUUCUGUCUGACUUAAACUGUCAAAUAAACUGCUUAAAAAACUACAACACAACAUGUCAGAAAAUAAAACAUUUGUCUUGUGAAAAGUUGCUGUGUUUUCCCAGUUGUGUUUUCUAAAAUGCUGGCUCUUGUGAAUUGUUGUUUUUCUUUUGUGG
Acanthopagrus latus (yellowfin seabream) is the source of this 1979-nucleotide long non-coding RNA. RefSeq lists it as uncharacterized. Lineage: Eukaryota; Metazoa; Chordata; Actinopteri; Spariformes; Sparidae. The record is from RefSeq and is a predicted model, not a curated record. The transcript is spliced from 6 exons.